UCCAUUCUCACUUCCUACGUGGCAAUUCUUAUUGGCGCAAACAUCAAACCCUACAAAUAGAAACCGCUUCUCAAGCUCCGAUGUCUCCGGCCUCCGCUUUGUAGGCCUUCUUUUCUGGUUUCCCCUUCAAUGCGAGUGGAAGCGGCGGUCCUGAGGUUGUGUGAUAUAGUCGAUCUGAAGCUCACCCUUCUCCCUCGCGGGGAUCCCCGCAUCUUCAAGAAUGUCAGUCCAUGGCUGCCAUCCGAGUGAGCGAGGGUCGGGAAUAGAUUUCGAAGAAUUAGGGUUACGUCAGCGUCAGCCUACAAGACCAGAAAAAGUCAGGUGUGACCAGCGGAAGGCCCACCCGCUUUAUCUGUGCUGGUAGUAACUCGGAGUCUGUGGUGCUACAGGGAGUGGCUGCCGGGGCGCCUCUGACUGUUGCCAUUCCCAGAUUCAACGGUUGCUGUAUGGACUGUUGGCCAGCCACCGUCUCCAGCAUGCUCACAGCCAUCUCAAUGACAGAGGUGAUCUCAGUCCCCGCUUCACUCCCACACGUUUUGGCUUCUCGGAAGAAGGGAGAUGAGUUCCAACCUCUCUACCUCGCAUACUCUCUUGCUCUUUGUGUCGCAGCAUUGGAUGCUGCUCCCCCAAGACUUCUUGUGACUGGUGUAUGAGAGAGUGCUCAAGCAGAAUCUGAGUCGGCGCCUCCGUGUGCAGUGCCCUACUUCGUGUUUUGCUGUGCUUCUUGUGUGUGGAAAAUGCAGAACUCAGCUAAGGCGGGGCAAGACGGGGCAAAGUCCUCUCUCUUCUUAUUGGAAGUUAUGAUGUCGACAAUGCAGACCAGUUCCGAAUUGGAAAUCUUGAUUCUCUGCAUCGAAUUCUGUUCUGCCUGCACCGAUGUGCACCAACAACCACAACGAAUUACUACACUCCAAUGCUGCCGAAGGGUCCACUUGGUUUGCCAAACCUUAAGUUGAUCGUGGAUCACAGCUUAGCCACUUGUUUUAAUGUUAGCAGGAUAAAGCACACAUACACGAGCGCACACACACAUUUAUAGAAGAAGUUAGAUUUGACUUUUACAAAUGUUUAUGUAAACUGAACAUAUGAAUACGCUGUUACUGUUAUUCUUAACAAAAAUAUGAAACACUGUUGAGGAACACAUUAACGUAUAUAUAUAUAUAUAUAUAUAUAUGUCUUCAUGUACACACUCAUGUGUAUACAUGGUCCAAAACUUGUAACUAAAUGGAUCUUUACAUCAGUUGUUUUUUCUUA
This is a non-coding RNA of Physcomitrium patens, 1251 nucleotides long. The record is from RefSeq and is a predicted model, not a curated record. NCBI's taxonomy places the organism in Eukaryota, Viridiplantae, Streptophyta, Bryopsida, Funariales, Funariaceae.